AAUCCCUGUAGUUGGAAAAAUGUACGAAUGGUAUUGGCCAACUGAACAUGGAACUAAAAAAGCUGAACAAAAUGUUUAAGUCGAUUUUAAUUGGGAUAAAAAAAUUGGACAGGUUCAAGAUAUAACCGAUUCCUAUUUAGAAGCAAAUUGUAUUGUAAUCAAAAUUAAAAUCAAUCAAAGUAAAUUUGCCAUAGUUGAAUUUUUAAAUGAACAAUCUAUUGAAGUGGUACCUUGUAGUUGGAUUAAAGUUGAUCAUAUAUCAAAGCGUUUUAUUUGUUGUUGGCCUGGUGGCAAAAACAUGUCUAAAUUUGCUUUAUCACAAAAAAAACCUUUAAAUUCGUGGGAAGAACACGACUGUCUGCCACGUAAAUUUUUCGAAACUCAUGCAUUGGCGAAGAAAAAAUUAUUAAAUUUCUGUUAUACCAGCUCAACAGAAAUAGAAGAGACAGAAAACCGUAGAAAACAUAUAAAAAGGAAACGUUUUAACUCAUAUAGCAGUGAUGAAGACCUUA
This is a long non-coding RNA of Metopolophium dirhodum (rose-grain aphid), 512 nucleotides long. RefSeq lists it as uncharacterized. The record is from RefSeq and is a predicted model, not a curated record. The transcript is spliced from 3 exons. NCBI's taxonomy places the organism in Eukaryota, Metazoa, Arthropoda, Insecta, Hemiptera, Aphididae.